AUACGGAGGGUGCAAGCGUUGUCCGGAUUUAUUGGGUUUAAAGGGUGCGUAGGUGGUUUUUUAAGUCAGUGGUGAAAGCCUACAGCUUAACUGUAGAGGUGCCAUUGAUACUGGGGAACUUGAGUAUGGACGAGGUAGGCGGAAUUUGUGGUGUAGCGGUGAAAUGCAUAGAUACCACAAGGAACACCGAUAGCGAAGGCAGCUUACUGGGCCAUAACUGACACUGAGGCACGAAAGCGUGGGGAGCGAACAGGAUUAGAGACCCGUGUAGUCC
This 274-nucleotide ribosomal RNA is filed under the name uncultured bacterium. RNAcentral's name for it is "partial 16S ribosomal RNA". It matches the Rfam family "Bacterial small subunit ribosomal RNA", at positions 523 to 796 of the family's 1533-position model. The record is from RNAcentral.